RNAcentral lists this unclassified non-coding RNA (346 nucleotides) under soil metagenome. RNAcentral describes it as "partial contains 5.8S ribosomal RNA, internal transcribed spacer 2, and large subunit ribosomal RNA". The stretch from base 1 to 120 matches the Rfam family "5.8S ribosomal RNA", at positions 35 to 154 of the family's 154-position model. The record is from RNAcentral.
GAUGAAGAACGCAGCGAAAUGCGAAAAGUAAUGUGAAUUGCAGAAUUCAGUGAACCAUCGAAUCUUUGAACGCACAUUGCGCCCGCUGGAACUCCGGCGGGCACGCCUGUCCGAGCGUCAUUUCAACCCUCAGGCCCCCCUUCGCGGGCGGGCCUGGUGUUGGGGCCCGGCCGCUACCCUGCGGCCGUCCCCUAAAUUCAGUGGCGGCCUCGCCGUGAUCCCUUGCGUAGUAAUGCACCUCGCACCGGAGAGCGCCGUGGCCACGCCGUAAAACCCCCAAUUUUCAAUGGUUGACCUCGGAUCAGGUGGGAAUACCCGCUGAACUUAAGCAUAUCAAUAACGGAGA